RNAcentral lists this ribosomal RNA (1566 nucleotides) under Histidinibacterium lentulum. Its description in RNAcentral is "bacterial LSU rRNA". It matches the Rfam family "Bacterial large subunit ribosomal RNA", at positions 1224 to 2925 of the family's 2925-position model. The record is from RNAcentral. Lineage: Bacteria; Pseudomonadati; Pseudomonadota; Alphaproteobacteria; Rhodobacterales; Paracoccaceae.
UGGAGGAGAGAGGCUUUCUGUGAAGCCGGCCUGUGAGGGAUCCGGUGGAGAGAUCACUAGCGAGAAUGAUGACAUGAGUAGCGACAAACAGGGUGAGAGACCCUGUCGCCGAAAGUCCAAGGGUUCCUGCUUAAAGCUAAUCUGAGCAGGGUAAGCCGGCCCCUAAGGCGAGGCCGAAAGGCGUAGUCGAUGGGAACCAGGUUAAUAUUCCUGGGCCAGGAGGAUGUGACGGAUUGUGGCGGCGUGCGUCCCUUAUCGGAUUGGGGCGUAUCCAAGACAGUUCCUGGAAAUAGCCCUCCAUCAGACCGUACCCCAAACCGACACAGGUGGACUGGUAGAGAAUACCAAGGCGCUUGAGAGAACGAUGUUGAAGGAACUCGGCAAAAUACCUCCGUAAGUUCGCGAGAAGGAGGCCCGGUCCAAGAGGGCCGGGGGCACAAACCAGGGGGUGGCGACUGUUUACUAAAAACACAGGGCUCUGCGAAGUCGCAAGACGACGUAUAGGGUCUGACGCCUGCCCGGUGCCGGAAGGUUAAAAGGAGAGGUGCAAGCCUUGAAUUGAAGCCCCGGUAAACGGCGGCCGUAACUAUAACGGUCCUAAGGUAGCGAAAUUCCUUGUCGGGUAAGUUCCGACCUGCACGAAUGGCGUAACGACUUCCCCGCUGUCUCCAACAUCGACUCAGCGAAAUUGAAUUGCCUGUCAAGAUGCAGGCUUCCCGCGGUUAGACGGAAAGACCCCAUGAACCUUUACUAUAGCUUCGCACUGGCAUCAGGCCAGGCAUGUGCAGGAUAGGUGGUAGACUUCGAAGCCGGGACGCCAGUCCUGGUGGAGUCUCCCUUGAGAUACCACCCUUGCCUUGCUUGAUGUCUAACCGCGGCCCGUUAUCCGGGUCCGGGACCCUGCGUGGUGGGUAGUUUGACUGGGGCGGUCGCCUCCUAAAGUGUAACGGAGGCGCGCGAAGGUUGGCUCAGACCGGUCGGAAAUCGGUCGUUGAGUGCAAUGGCAGAAGCCAGCCUGACUGCGAGACUGACACGUCGAGCAGAGUCGAAAGACGGCCAUAGUGAUCCGGUGGUCCCGAGUGGAAGGGCCAUCGCUCAACGGAUAAAAGGUACUCUGGGGAUAACAGGCUGAUGGUGCCCAAGAGUCCAUAUCGACGGCACCGUUUGGCACCUCGAUGUCGGCUCAUCUCAUCCUGGGGCUGGAGCAGGUCCCAAGGGUACGGCUGUUCGCCGUUUAAAGAGGUACGUGAGCUGGGUUUAGAACGUCGUGAGACAGUUCGGUCCCUAUCUGCCGUGGGUGUAGGAUACUUGAGAGGAGUUGCCCCUAGUACGAGAGGACCGGGGUGAACGAUCCACUGGUGGACCUGUUGUGGCGCCAGCCGCAGUGCAGGGUAGCUAUGAUCGGACAGGAUAACCGCUGAAGGCAUCUAAGCGGGAAGCCCCCCUCGAAACAAGGUAUCCCUUGAGGGCCGUGCGAGACCAGCACGUCGAUAGGCCGGAGAUGUAAGCGCAGCAAUGCGUUCAGUUGACCGGUACUAAUGGCCCGAUUGGCUUGAUCUGAUCCGG